GGGUAGGUGUCUGAGUGGCUAAAAGAGCACGCCUGGAACGCGUGUAAGGCAAAAACCUUCGUGGGUUCAAAUCCCACUCUACCCGCCA
RNAcentral lists this transfer RNA (88 nucleotides) under Campylobacter canadensis. RNAcentral describes it as "tRNA-Ser". It matches the Rfam family "tRNA". From Rfam's summary of the family: Transfer RNA (tRNA) molecules are approximately 80 nucleotides in length. Lineage: Bacteria; Pseudomonadati; Campylobacterota; Epsilonproteobacteria; Campylobacterales; Campylobacteraceae. The record is from RNAcentral.